This is a long non-coding RNA of Limulus polyphemus (Atlantic horseshoe crab), 3226 nucleotides long. RefSeq lists it as uncharacterized. The record is from RefSeq and is a predicted model, not a curated record. The transcript is spliced from 2 exons. NCBI's taxonomy places the organism in Eukaryota, Metazoa, Arthropoda, Merostomata, Xiphosura, Limulidae.
UAGAAAGUUAUGGGUAAAAGAUAUUAUUGUUCGUGGCAUUAUAGAAAGUUAUGGGUAAAAGAUAUUAUUGUUCGUGGCAUUAUAGAAAGUUAUGGGUAAAAGAUAUUAUUGUUCAUGACAUUAUAGAAAGUUAUGAGUAAAAUAUAUUAUUGUUUGUGGCAUUAUAGAAAGUUAUGGGUAAAAUAUAUUAUUGUUCAUGGGAUUAUAGAAAGUUAUAGGUAAAAGAUAUUAUUGUUCGUGGCAUUAUAGAAAGUUAUGGGUAAAAGAUAUUGUUCAUGGCAUUAUAGAAAGUUAUGGGUAAAAUAUAUUAUUGUUUGUGGCAUUAUAGAAAGUUAUGGGUAAAAUUUAUUAUUGUUCAUGACAUUAUAGAAAGUUAUGGGUAAAAGAUAUUAUAUAAGUUUUGUACGAAUUAUCAUGUAAGAUUAUCGUCUUUACCUUGGUCUAAGUGAAUUUCGAAAUUACAUACUAACUGUCCAAGAAAAUGAUAGUGAUAUCUAAAUAUUAAUUAUAUUUUUACUGACAUCUAUGCAUGAAUAUUCUUGUUUGGUUCUAUGUGGAUUCUACUCCCAAAAUGUAAAAUAUUCAAAUAUCUUAGAAGGUUCGUAAAUUCGUAAAAACAUGCUUAAUGAUGUGUACGGUCAUUUAUUAGUACUAGGCAAAGUAACCGUUAAAAUAAUUAUAUAAACGAAAAACUCUAUUUAAUUUCUAUUAAAUAAGAAUGACAUUGUUAGUAAACUACAAUGUGCAUUGCGCAGUAGCACGAGAUUGUUACAUUUUAUAAGACUCAGAAACAGGAAAUAUUGCAUGAUAGAUAAAUUUGUCAAAAUAAUGUAAUUAUAUUUGAAAGACAAUAUCUAAAUAAAAAAUUACAGUAAAGUCCAGCCUACCUGUACGUACAGUUAACAUAUGUCGCUGAAGUAUCACUGAUGUCCAGAAACAACGUCGGCUACUAUUACGCUCUACUUAUAUGGACAGUAAAGUAAUACCACCAAAACCUCGCCAAUGUCCAGUUGUUACGAUCUAGAAAAUUCCAGUCUACCGAUAUAGGUAGUAAAGAUAUAACCGCCGAAGCAUCACCAAUAACUAGAAAGGACAGGGGUCACCAUUACUACGUACAUAAAGUUAUGUGGUCAGAGGAGUUAUGUCAUUGGUCUUUGAGUCUCCAGUCCUGUAAAACCAAUCCAACCACUUAAGCAAUAAUUUCACAACCAAGAUUCGGCCCCUACCUAAACCUCGAGUGGGGAGUAGGAGAACAGCUGUUUCCGGUUGUCUUCAGAAGUCCUACUAGGAAUACUUUAAACCGAAAUACCUACCAGUAGUAGUGGUUAUGUAAUUUAAACAUCAGCGUUGUUCAGAAAGAACUACAUGUACUGUUAACAAAAACUCAUCAGGAUUCUCUUAUAACACGGAUCUCUGACGUCAAAUCUCCAGGAAAAACUUUUAAACAUCAGCGUUGUUCAGAAAGAACUACAUGUACUGUUAACGAAAACUCAUCAGGAUUCUCUUGUAACACGGAUCUCUGACGUCAAAUCUCCAGGAAAAACUUGCAACAAACAUGGCAAACAUACACUUAGACGUUUUUAGGACACUGCCUUCUAAAGAAGGAACCAAGUGCAGUCAUAUUAGAGUAAGUUACCUGGCUGCUAAUAAACAAUAAAUUAUAACUCCUUUAGAUGAAGCAUUUUAGUUGAAUGUCUAUUUCCAUUGUUCUCAUGACAAAUAGUUAUUUUAAAUGUGGUCGUGGCUCUUCCAAUGUAAAAACACUGUUCAAUGAUGACUCUUACGUGAAUGAGCUACAAUGUUCAGCUACAGACUAGGAGAGUUGACGAAAACAUUCAAAAUAAAUUACACUUCAUUCAGGUAAGUUACUUUUUUCGAAAGAGACUCCACUACUACAAGACAAUAAUCAUCUGCAGGUCUCUAGUAGUCAUAUUUCAUCCACUACUACAAGACAAUAAUUAUCUGCAGGUCUCUAGUAGUCAUAUUUCAUCCACUACUACAAGACAAUAAUCAUCUGCAGGUCUCUAGUAGUCAUAUUUCAUCCACUACUACAAGACAAUAAUUAUCUGCAGGUCUCUAGUAGUCAUAUUUCAUCCACUACUACAAGACAAUAAUUAUCUGCAGGUCUCUAGUAGUCAUAUUUCAUCCACUACUACAAGACAAUAAUCAUCUGCAGGUCUCUAGUAGUCAUAUUUCAAAAUACGUUUUUUCUUUAAGAUUUGGAUAGCAUUUCUUGCUGGAUUAAUAUGGUCUGAACUUAUCAUUUGUCGCCUUUUUUGGUGCACGUUUUUUUCCUUUUUUUAAAAUAGUUAUUAUGUGAACUUAAUAAAGAUUGGUAUUAAGUUGAAUAUCUUGAGCAUGUAUCUGUUUAUUAUUAAUUAUAGCUUUCAUUCGUAAACAUGUUAUGAGGUUAAAUAUAGGUCGUCUACUGUUCUGAGGCUUAAGAUAAAUAUCAGUACGGUAUUUUCUAUUAAGGUAGUUUUGGUUGUACCUACUGUAAUUCAUUUAGUAAUUAUAUUAUAAACAAUAAUAUUUAUUGUCUCUGUAGGACCCAUAUUUAUGUGUGUAAUGUACAGUAUCUUAAGUGGAACCCAAGAGAGCAAUGUGGGACCAAGUUUGCUAGGAAUAAUGUUUGCUGUAUUAUGUGUGGCCCAAAGUAAUAGGAGUAACAUUUACUGUCUUAAUUGAGUUUUACUCGUCAGUAUUAGUAGAUGUAAAUGUUUGCUGUUUUAUGUAGAACUCAGAUUGAUAGAAGCAAUGUUUGAUCUAUUAUUUAGAGUCAGGAUUGAUAAAAGUAAUCUCUGCUGCUUUAUCUAUGGUCUAGAGUAAUAUUUGCUAUCUUAUAUGAGACCCAGAUUGAUAUGAGUAACGUCUGGUUUAUUAUGUGAGACCCAGAUUGAUAUUGAUAAUGUUUUCUGCCUCAUCUAGGGUUCAUAUUGACAGGUGAGAAUAUUUGCUGUCUUUUGUAGGGCUCAGAAUGAUAGGAGUAAUGUUUGGUUUCUUAUGGAGGGCCCAGAUUGAUAGCCCUAAUCUCUGCUAUCUUAUAUACAGUCCAGAUAAAUAGAAGUAAUGUUGAUAUCUCAUGUAGGCCCCGGAUCGAGUAAUAAGAAAGUCUAGUCGCUAGGUUUAAGUAUAUGGUUUUGUAUUUUCUGUCAAUUAUUUUUUUUUACUUGUUUGAGAUGCAGAGGCGAGAUGAACAUAUUUGGAAACUAGUCUGAUGCAAGUA